RNAcentral lists this unclassified non-coding RNA (738 nucleotides) under Hevea brasiliensis (rubber tree). Lineage: Eukaryota; Viridiplantae; Streptophyta; Magnoliopsida; Malpighiales; Euphorbiaceae. The record is from RNAcentral.
UCUCUACUAUCUUGACAGUUCUACAGUGCUGUGGCAUGAAAAUAAGAGCUGAUGAUCCCACUGCCAUGAAAAACUUCAUUCAGAGUGUUCAGAGUAGGGUGAAUGAGCUGAAGUCCUCUCCUGGAGAAGACCAGGCAAAAAUGAUUGGCAAAAGAAUGGAAUUCAUGCUUGAAACCAUAUGCGACAUCAAAAACAACAAGAAGAGGCCUAAGGAUGAUAGUGCACAACACACAAGAAUUAAAAAAUGGCUGCAAAAGCUAAGAGUUCAAGAAAUUCUUCUUAGAGGGCUCAAAUGGAGCAGGCUGCUUGAUCCUGAUAAGAAGGGCCAAUGGUGGCUGUCAGGUGAUACGGCUAUCACUGUAGAUGAUGUUGAAGAGGUUGCCAAUACAAUUGACAAAGAGGUUGUGGAAGCACAAAAGAUGCUGCAGCUUGCUGCUUUACAGAGGAUGAAUACAGAUGCUAGAAAGGCAAUCUUUUGUAUAUUAAUGAGCGGUGAGGACUAUAUUGAUGCAUUUGAGAAGCUUCUAAGACUGGAUUUGCCAGGAAAGCAGGACAGAGAGAUUAUCCGGGUUCUUGUAGAAUGCUGCUUGCAAGAGAAGGGGUUUAACAAGUAUUAUACUGUUCUGGCUUCCAAGUUGUGUGGGCAUGACAAAAAUCACAAGUAUACUUUACAGUAUUGCCUUUGGGACCACUUCAAAGAGCUCGAGUCCAUGCCACUUUUAAGAUCCAUGCACUUAG